Molecule: ribosomal RNA, 321 nt
Filed under: uncultured Prevotella sp.
Lineage: Bacteria; Pseudomonadati; Bacteroidota; Bacteroidia; Bacteroidales; Prevotellaceae
Description: bacterial SSU rRNA
Rfam family: Bacterial small subunit ribosomal RNA
Source: RNAcentral
GAUGAACGCUAGCUACAGGCUUAACACAUGCAAGUCGAGGGGCAGCAUGGAGUUUGCUUGCAAACUCUGAUGGCGACCGGCGCACGGGUGAGUAACGCGUAUCCAACCUGCCCACGGCCAGGGAAUAGCCCGCUGAAAAGCGGAUUAAUGCCCUAUGGGGUCCUUUGCAGACAUCUAAUGAGGACUAAAGAUUUCAUCGGCCAUGGAUGGGGAUGCGUCCGAUUAGGCAGCAGGCGGGGUAACGGCCCACCUGGCCAACGAUCGUUAGGGGUUCUGAGAGGAAGGUCCCCCACACUGGUACUGAGACACGGACCAGACUCC